UUAUAGCUUCAAAGUAUUCCCAUUGUAUGGAUGCACCUAAACUUAUGGACUCAGUUCUCCACUGAUCAAUAUGAAAUUCUGACUGUUAACGCAUGCUUUAAAACAAAACAGGAGGAAUCUGAGAUGUCUGAGGACAGUCAAGCCUUGGAGUUUGUCCUCUGCUGUUGCUGCCUGGUUUCUGGGAAUCCAUGGAAAUAGGAAUUGUGGGUCAAAGGUUAAAGGAGAUCAAUAUUUGUGAAGAGAAGAAACACAUGAAAGUCAAAAUACGAAGUAUGGCCAGAGACCUACACAGGAACUUUCAGAAGAGGAACCAGUUGCCUUUGUUACGGUAUAUCUCAUUUCCCUAUU
This is a long non-coding RNA of Felis catus (domestic cat), 348 nucleotides long. RefSeq lists it as uncharacterized. NCBI's taxonomy places the organism in Eukaryota, Metazoa, Chordata, Mammalia, Carnivora, Felidae. The transcript has 3 exons. The record is from RefSeq and is a predicted model, not a curated record.